Molecule: unclassified non-coding RNA, 333 nt
Filed under: soil metagenome
Description: partial contains 5.8S ribosomal RNA, internal transcribed spacer 2, and large subunit ribosomal RNA
Rfam family: 5.8S ribosomal RNA (bases 1-120)
Source: RNAcentral
GAUGAAGAACGCAGCGAAAUGCGAUAAGUAAUGUGAAUUGCAGAAUUCAGUGAAUCAUCGAAUCUUUGAACGCACAUUGCGCCCGCCAGUAUUCUGGCGGGCAUGCCUGUUCGAGCGUCAUUUCAACCAUCAAGCUCUGCUUGCGUUGGGGAUCCGCGGCUGCCCGCGGUCCCUCAAAACCAGUGGCGGGCUCGCUAGUCACACCGAGCGUAGUAACUUUACAUCGCUAUGGUCGUGCGGCGGGUGCUUGCCGUAAAACCCCCCAAUUUUUAAGGUUGACCUCGGAUCAGGUAGGAAUACCCGCUGAACUUAAGCAUAUCAAUAAGCGGAGGA